GGUUCCGUGGUCUAGAGGUAUGAUAUCUCGCUUACAACGAGAGGAUCACGAGUUCGAAUCUCGUCGGAACCA
This 72-nucleotide transfer RNA is filed under the name Methanobrevibacter sp. RNAcentral's name for it is "tRNA-Val". It matches the Rfam family "tRNA". Rfam says of the family: Transfer RNA (tRNA) molecules are approximately 80 nucleotides in length. Their secondary structure includes four short double-helical elements and three loops (D, anti-codon, and T loops). RNAcentral also lists the same sequence under 2 other names. The record is from RNAcentral. Lineage: Archaea; Methanobacteriati; Methanobacteriota; Methanobacteria; Methanobacteriales; Methanobacteriaceae.